This 253-nucleotide ribosomal RNA is filed under the name uncultured bacterium. RNAcentral's name for it is "partial 16S ribosomal RNA". It matches the Rfam family "Bacterial small subunit ribosomal RNA", at positions 524 to 776 of the family's 1533-position model. The record is from RNAcentral.
UACGUAGGGUGCAAGCGUUAAUCGGAAUUACUGGGCGUAAAGCGUGCGCAGGCGGUUGUGCAAGACAGAUGUGAAAUCCCCGGGCUCAACCUGGGAAUGGCGAUGGAUACUGGCGAGCUAGAGUACGGUAGAGGAGACUGGAAUUUACGGUGUAGCAGUGAAAUGCGUAGAUAUCGUAAGGAAGACCAGUGGCGAAGGCGAGUCUCUGGACAGUUACCGACGCUGAGGCACGAAGGUCAGGGGAGCAAACGGG